Molecule: ribosomal RNA, 695 nt
Filed under: uncultured bacterium
Lineage: Bacteria
Description: bacterial SSU rRNA
Rfam family: Bacterial small subunit ribosomal RNA
Source: RNAcentral
ACGAUGGAUACUCGCUGCGGGCUAAAGAUUGUCCGUGGCUUAGCGAAAGCGAUAAGUAUCCCACCUGGGGAGUACGCCGGCAACGGUGAAACUCAAAGGAAUUGACGGGGGCCCGCACAAGUGGUGGAGCAUGUGGUUUAAUUCGAUGAUACGCGAGGAACCUUACCUAGGCUAGAAUGCGCGUGACCGGCUCAGAGAUGAGCCUUUCCUUCGGGACACAAAGCAAGGUGCUGCAUGGCCGUCGUCAGCUCGUGCCGUGAGGUGUUGGGUUAAGUCCCGCAACGAGCGCAACCCCUAUGGUUAGUUGCCAGCACGUAAUGGUGGGGACUCUAGCCAGACUGCCUGCGCAAGCAGUGAGGAAGGCGGGGACGACGUCAGGUCAUCAUGGCCCUUACGCCUAGGGCGACACACGUGCUACAAUGGACGGUACAGCGGGUAGCUACCAGGCGACUGGAUGCCAAUCUCGAAAAGCCGUUCUCAGUUCGGAUUGGAGUCUGCAACUCGACUCCAUGAAGCUGGAAUCACUAGUAAUCGCGCAUCAGCCAUGGCGCGGUGAAUACGUUCCCGGGCCUUGUACACACCGCCCGUCAAGCCAUGAAAGUCUGGUAGACCUGAAGCUGGUGCUCGUCACAGAAGCCAGUUAGGGUAGAACAGGUAAUUAGGGCUAAGUCGUAAGCAAGGUAACCAAGGGCGAA